CCUACGGGAGGCAGCAGUAAGGAAUAUUGGUCAAUGGACGGAAGUCUGAACCAGCCAUGCCGCGUGCAGGAUGACGGCCCUCUGGGUUGUAAACUGCUUUUAUAGGGGACGAAAAAAGGGGAUUCUUCCUCACUUGACGGUACCCUAGGAAUAAGCACCGGCUAACUCCGUGCCAGCAGCCGCGGUAAUACGGAGGGUGCAAGCGUUAUCCGGAUUUACUGGGUUUAAAGGGUGCGUAGGUGGGUCGGUAAGUCAGCGGUGAAAUCUUCGAGCUUAACUCGGAAACUGCCAUUGAUACUAUCGAUCUUGAAUCGUCUAGAGGUAAGCGGAAUAUGUCAUGUAGCGGUGAAAUGCUUAGAUAUGACAUAGAACACCAAUUGCGAAGGCAGCUUACUAUGGAUGUAUUGACACUGAGGCACGAAAGCGUGGGGAUCAAACAGGAUUAGAUACCCUGGUAGUCC
RNAcentral lists this ribosomal RNA (461 nucleotides) under uncultured bacterium. RNAcentral describes it as "bacterial SSU rRNA". It matches the Rfam family "Bacterial small subunit ribosomal RNA", at positions 338 to 796 of the family's 1533-position model. The record is from RNAcentral.